This 718-nucleotide long non-coding RNA is filed under the name Homo sapiens (human). RNAcentral describes it as "HSALNT0354700". The record is from RNAcentral. Lineage: Eukaryota; Metazoa; Chordata; Mammalia; Primates; Hominidae.
CUAGGCUUAGCUGAGUGGUUUCUUUGGUCUCAGAUGGGUUCUAUCAUGUGACUGUGGUCAGCUUGAGCCAGCUGUGUUUUUGCUGAUAUUGGCUGGACUUUCUAACACAUUUCAGGCCUUGCCUAGACAAAUGACUGGACACAUCUCUGGUUCACAUUGUCUGUCAUCUUCCAUCAGGGGAACAUGAGCAAUUAUCAUUCAAGCAAAGCCAUCUUUAUUGCAAAGAAUGGAGACCUCUGUAAUAUAGCACAGGAAUAAUGAAUGCAUCUGGUCUGUGUGGCAGAGGGGCUGUGACUGAAAGCACACCAUCAGGCAAUGCUGUAGAAGCGGGAAUCUGAUACAACCUGGUUUAAUGAGAACUGGAGAUCAUGAUCUCCUGGACAGCCAGAACUAUGUUUUAUUUAUCUGUUUGUGGCCAGUUUCCAGCCCUGGGCCUGGCCUUGAGCAAGCCCUUGAGUUGAAAUGAUUUAAAUCAGAGAUGGCACAGAUAAUAAAAACAGGAAUGGAUAUGGAGAUAGAGGAUGAGAAUUUGGGUAUUAACUUGGUUAUUUACUAAUUGGAGGGAUUGAGGUAAGUUGCUUCAUUCUGAGUCUCACUUCUCAAAUUUGUACAGUGAUGAAGUUUGGGAUUGGAGUAUAUGUGGAGAGGAACCUCCAAAACCUUUACCGUGCUUCAACAUUCUAACUUAAGCUUAAACGAAAAAUUGAAUUUUUACCUG